UGGGGAAUAUUGGGCAAUGGGCGAAAGCCUGACCCAGCAACGCCGCGUGAAGGAAGAAGGCCUUCGGGUUGUAAACUUCUUUUAAGAGGGACGAAGAAGUGACGGUACCUCUUGAAUAAGCCACGGCUAACUACGUGCCAGCAGCCGCGGUAAUACGUAGGUGGCGAGCGUUGUCCGGAUUUACUGGGUGUAAAGGGCGUGCAGCCGGGCCGGCAAGUCAGAUGUGAAAUCCCCAGGCUCAACCUGGGGAACUGCAUUUGAAACUGUUGGUCUUGAGUAUCGGAGAGGUAAUCGGAAUUCCUUGUGUAGCGGUGAAAUGCGUAGAUAUAAGGAAGAACACCAGUGGCGAAG
This 351-nucleotide ribosomal RNA is filed under the name uncultured Oscillibacter sp. RNAcentral describes it as "bacterial SSU rRNA". It matches the Rfam family "Bacterial small subunit ribosomal RNA", at positions 355 to 720 of the family's 1533-position model. Lineage: Bacteria; Bacillati; Bacillota; Clostridia; Eubacteriales; Oscillospiraceae. The record is from RNAcentral.